This 846-nucleotide ribosomal RNA is filed under the name Escherichia coli. Its description in RNAcentral is "partial 23S ribosomal RNA". It matches the Rfam family "Bacterial large subunit ribosomal RNA", at positions 375 to 1226 of the family's 2925-position model. Lineage: Bacteria; Pseudomonadati; Pseudomonadota; Gammaproteobacteria; Enterobacterales; Enterobacteriaceae. The record is from RNAcentral.
GUACACAAAAAUGCACAUAUUGUGAGCUCGAUGAGUAGGGCGGGACACGUGGUAUCCUGUCUGAAUAUGGGGGGACCAUCCUCCAAGGCUAAAUACUCCUGACUGACCGAUAGUGAACCAGUACCGUGAGGGAAAGGCGAAAAGAACCCCGGCGAGGGGAGUGAAAAAGAACCUGAAACCGUGUACGUACAAGCAGUGGGAGCCUCUUUAUGGGGUGACUGCGUACCUUUUGUAUAAUGGGUCAGCGACUUAUAUUCUGUAGCAAGGUUAACCGAAUAGGGGAGCCGAAGGGAAACCGAGUCUUAACUGGGCGUUAAGUUGCAGGGUAUAGACCCGAAACCCGGUGAUCUAGCCAUGGGCAGGUUGAAGGUUGGGUAACACUAACUGGAGGACCGAACCGACUAAUGUUGAAAAAUUAGCGGAUGACUUGUGGCUGGGGGUGAAAGGCCAAUCAAACCGGGAGAUAGCUGGUUCUCCCCGAAAGCUAUUUAGGUAGCGCCUCGUGAAUUCAUCUCCGGGGGUAGAGCACUGUUUCGGCAAGGGGGUCAUCCCGACUUACCAACCCGAUGCAAACUGCGAAUACCGGAGAAUGUUAUCACGGGAGACACACGGCGGGUGCUAACGUCCGUCGUGAAGAGGGAAACAACCCAGACCGCCAGCUAAGGUCCCAAAGUCAUGGUUAAGUGGGAAACGAUGUGGGAAGGCCCAGACAGCCAGGAUGUUGGCUUAGAAGCAGCCAUCAUUUAAAGAAAGCGUAAUAGCUCACUGGUCGAGUCGGCCUGCGCGGAAGAUGUAACGGGGCUAAACCAUGCACCGAAGCUGCGGCAGCGACACUAUGUGUUGUUG